This 798-nucleotide unclassified non-coding RNA is filed under the name Hevea brasiliensis (rubber tree). The record is from RNAcentral. Lineage: Eukaryota; Viridiplantae; Streptophyta; Magnoliopsida; Malpighiales; Euphorbiaceae.
GGAUAAUUAAAAUUAUAAUAAACCAAAACUAUGUACUUUGCAUUUUACAUAUUAAAUUGUAGAAACUGAGUUACCAAAUUUCAGUGUCUUACACUUCAACAAUUCUUCUCUCUUGGCCAAAAUGCAUACAAAAACUGAUUCAGAAGAUACGAGCUUGGCUCCUUCGUCGCCGGACAAUAGAGGGCCGACGGCGUAUUACGUUCAGAGUCCGUCACGUGAUUCUCACGAUGGCGAGAAGACAACGACGUCGUUUCACUCUACUCCUGUUAUCAGUCCCAUGGGUUCUCCUCCUCACUCUCACUCAUCCGUCGGCCGUCACUCCCGUGAUUCCUCUUCCUCCAGAUUCUCCGGCUCCCUCAAGCCUGGAUCUCGGAAGAUUUUACCCGACGCCGCCGGAGGCGUCGGCGGCCGUCACCACCGCAAAGGGCAGAAGCCCUGGAAGGAAUGUGAUGUUAUUGAGGAAGAAGGACUACUUGAAGAUGAUAGAUCCAGUAAAUCUCUUCCACGUCGUUGCUAUGUCCUUGCUUUUGUUGUUGGUUUCUUCGUCCUUUUCUCCUUCUUUGCUCUCAUCCUUUGGGGUGCUAGUCGACCUCAGAAACCCAAAAUCACCAUGAGGACCAUAAAAUUUGAUCAUUUUGGGAUUCAAGCUGGUUCUGAUGCCACAGGAGUAGCAACUGAUAUGAUCUCCAUGAAUGCUACUGUGAAAUUCCUUUACCGUAAUACUGCAUCAUUUUUCGGUGUACAUGUCACAUCAACCCCUCUUGAUCUCUCAUUUUCAGAACUCACAAUUGGAUCCGG